ACUGCUUGUGGACUCAAUCAACUCAGUAGCCACUGCUGGUUUUGGAGUACACUCAGUACCUCACACAGCAUGUAAUUAAUGGAAAGAUUGACUAGGACUGGGACUGAGAGAAGCCCUGAUAGUACAUACUUGAAAUGUCCUCAUGAUUUGACAGAAAAUCAUUAACUGGAAAACACUGCAAAUCAACUGGAUUCACCAUUUAUUUCAGGUCACACUGGCCUCUUCUGCAUCAGUCAGCUAGUUGGCAGAAUGAAGAGGAAUAUGCUGUAUAUGUGCUGUCAUCGGUCAUGUGGCAGUGAAAAAGAAGAGGGCUAAACAGACAAAUGAAGGAAAGGUAGAAUGGAGGGACAGGAUAGCAACGUAAAACCAGGGCCAGCCCAAUACCGUGUAGUUUGUUGGAAGUGCUGAAAUUACAGCCUGAGGUGGCACAGCUGCUAGAACAAGAUCAGCCAAGCGGGAAUAGAUGCAUCAGGGAUAAAGCACAAGAUGGCCUCCACUAAUCCAAACCACUUACCUUCAUGUUUCUGCUUUCCAUAAAAGUACAAGGGACUCCGUUAUCACUCAGUCAUCAAUGAAGUAGCUGCAUUCUGUGCUCAUCUCAUCUCUGAAGCUGAAAGAAGAGCUAGUUAUUAUCUUCAAAAGGAGAAGAAGAGUGGGCUGUUGAAACUUCUAGCAGGAGCAUCAACAAAAAAGAAGUCACGCUCCCCACCAUCUGUGUCCCCCACGCAUGACCCCCAGACUGCCAUUGAAGGAGUUCUGCAAGGGGCAGUGGGGCCUGAGCUGUCCUCCCUCUCCAGUCACGGCAGAGCUGGCUCAUGCCCUAUUGAGAGUGAAAUGCAAGGAGCCAUGGGGCUGGAGCCUCUGCACAGAAAAACAGGCUCCUUGGAUUUGAAUUUUUCCAUCCCUUCACCUGUCAGGCCACCCCUCUCUUCCAUGGCAGCUAUUCGGCCAGAGCCCAAGCCUUUGCCCCGGGAAAGGUACCGCGUUGUGGUCCCAUACCCACCGCAGAGCGAGGCGGAGAUCGAACUGAAGGAAGGUGACAUUGUGUUUGUGCACAAGAAACGGGAGGACGGCUGGUACAAAGGGACGUUGCAGAGGAACGGCAGGACGGGCCUCUUCCCCGGGAGCUUUGUCGAGAGCUUCUGAGGACGAAUCGCCGCUCUCUCAACUGAGGAGCUUUCAGGGGAAACUGCAUAGCACAAGAGACAGCAAAGAGAAACUGGACUGAUAACCACUGCCAUUUUUAUUUCCAAAGACUUCCCCCAGGCCCUUCAGUCUGCAGCUCCGGAGACACAGUGCCCCGCUGUGCUCCCGAGACCGUGUGCAGUGCAUACAGUGGUAUGUUGAAGUAGUGCCUUCCACCUGGAAUCACAGACUGAAAGGACGCCCAUCUGGACUAUAGUAACCUAAACUCUGGCUGUUAACCUUUUGUGUAAAUUAUAGAGAAGAUAUCUUUAAAAAAAAUUAAGAGGAAAGCUGUUAUAUUGCUGUAACUUAUUUGUCAGAGCUGCAGUGUUCUUAUUACUGGCCUAUGCAAGAUGGAUUUGAGUUCAAGAAGGUGUGCUAGGAAGCUCUUAAACAGGGAUUUUGUUUUUACCAAGGGAAGAAGAGGGGAGGGUGGAGAAAACCCCAGCUAAAGAUCAGUGCAUCAUUGUGCAAGUAAGAAUGAGGAGUCAAAAACGUUAAUGUCAUGCUUUCUAUAUACCUCAAAGAUAUGCUGCGCAGGUUUGUCGGUGCGUGUCGGUGUUAAGUGCUCAGAGUGCUACACCACCCCUUGUCCUGGCACUGCUGCCAGGGAGGUCCUGGAGGAAGUACAGCUCCACCAUUAAACCGUGGUUAUUUGAGCAGAAUCCCUUUUGCCUGUCUUCUGCCCGUAUUAUAUGCAGCAUGGAUUUUUGUCCUUCGGUAUCACUUUCCAUUGCUUUUUUGUACGACGUACCUUUUUACUGUAAGAAUUGCUCUACUUUAUAUAUAUUCCUACUAGAUCAGACAUUUCCUCUUUUUCAUACAUCUGGUGCUAUUUUUUUUAAUUGUUAAAAGAUUUGGUUAAACAGAGAGGCUGCAACAAGAUUUGCAUUCAACAUAUGAAAUUAGAAACGUACCUGAAGAUUGAGAUCAGACUGCUUGUUCUUGCAUCAGAGAGGAAAAAAGAAAAAGCUGCAUGGUCACCGAUAAAUGUACCAGGGGGAGCUGCCUGUGCAACAUACACAUGCUUGCUCUCUCCUACAUAUUUAGAGUGGCUGAAGACCCAUGCUGAAGCACAGCGUUCUGUCUGGAGGGUGAUAAUGACUCCAGAAUUGGAAGUAAUUCCCAGAGGAGUCAUUUUAAUUGACUUUUUCAUGGCAAUAAGAAGAACACUGCAGGUUCUAGCACGCGCAGGGACCGUGGAGUUUUCCUCUGUCGUUGCAUGACGGAGAUGAGAGCUGAUCUGCGACACCAGUAAUUAGUGUUAUGGAAAUGUGAUUUCUUACUGUAGAAAUGUACAGUUCUGGAGACUGUUGGAUUUCUUAACGUCGUCAAGCUACAAUACAAACUGUAUCAGGCAAUAUAAGCUUCCAUCUACCAGGGACUUAAAGGUGCAAUAAAUGUAAGGUGAGUUUAGCCAGUAAUUUGUGUGAAAAAGAAUGAGAAAAAAAGUCAUAAUGCAAUUGUUGAGAGUAUUUAAAAAGACAUCAGCUCUUGAGGAGUGAAUCGUGUUGAAAGGCCUUUCGUAGCUGUAUCCAUACCUUGCCUCUGACAGGAGCUGGCUGUUUGCCAAAGCCCACAUGUGGUGGGUGUUUAAAAGCAUGUCAGAGGCACUGUAACCUGGAGAUGAUCUUAUUAAAACAAAGAGGCCCUGUGGGUGAGCAUCAUCACUGCGUUACCAGUAUUUCAUAUGCGAAGGUGUAAGUUUUGUUUUCAUUCAAGCCGUGUGUACUAGUACAUAUCAAAACCCAUGUAAGUGAGCAUUCCUGUUUAAGUUCAGCUCUGUGACUUUGUUCUCUGUAAAAUAAGUUCUUCUUGCUGUCACAUGUUAACAAACCAAUUCCAGAAACACAGUUCAUGGCCAAGUAUAGCACCUUCAAACCGGGAGGCAUCACUUUCAGGGUGUUUCUUUUUAUACUUGAUGUUGCCGCAUUUGUUGAUAUUCCAGAUUGUAAUGAGUCAGUCACUAAAAAUUUAGUUACUGUUCAGAGGAAAUUGCCUUUUUAUAAACAAUAAGAGACUGAAGAAACGUCUUCUGGAAAGACUUGCUUGAGAUUAGAGCCAUAUCUGUUCCACUUAUUUGGUCCAGGUCAGAACUGGUGUCACAGCACCUCAAACAGUAAACUGCACAGUUAGGCAGUCAGCAAUGCCAAAAUGUGUGUUAUUGAUUCCAGUAAAAAUUCUGGGUUAGAUCUGUCAGAGAUGAGAUUUUUUCUGACAACUUACAGUGGUUAAAACACUCUUAAAAUUCUGUUCCCUGGUGUAUUUACUACAGUCAGAAAAACUAAACAGGACGACAGCUUGCAUGCUGCCUCUUCUGUUUAGCCAGACCUAAAAUGGUUCCAGAUUUCCACUGUUUUAUGCUUAACUCUAAGAGGACAAAAGUUGGUGUGUGAGAGGAUCAAGGAAAACAUGCAGAUGUCAUAUCAUUAAAUCAGUGCUUUGAAAUAUAUUUUGCAAGGAGGAUAAUGGUUUUUUGAAUGGUCGACAACUCUUCCAGUCAUACCUUCUUCUAGGAAAAAUAUAGGCGGGAGGGGGAAGGAGGUGUUCUAUUUUGAUAGCAGCUGUUUCUGGGCCCUCUUUAUUGCUUAUCACAGUUCAGGUUAGUGAGUAAUCUUCUUGAACAAAUCACUUCCAUGCCAGGAGCACAAGUAUUAAGGUGAACUUAAUACAGCCCAGUGAUACAAAAACAUGACCCAGUGCCAUUCAGAAAGUCCUGGAGUGAGAGAAGUUUGACUCAUACUGUGGUCUAGUUUUUACCUGUCACGCCAGGAAAAGAGGGAGGAGGGGGCAUCUCCAUCUCCCGCAAAACAGGGCGAGGACAAGAAAAGAUUCCUUCUGGUGGCCUCAGUUUGUAAAAUGCCAGGUUUGUUCUUCUAGAAAUGGGUUCAAGUAGUUGAACAAUUCCUUUGAACUUUGCACAGCUCAGAAAAUGUUUUUGUUAUACAUGAAUGUUAACGUGGUUUAGGAAAUGUUGGCAGAUAUGAGUACAAAUGAACUACAAUGACUGUGUUUCUGAUUCUUUAAAUAAAAUAAGUAUUAAGGCAACUUGACUGAAGUUUCUC
Cyanistes caeruleus (blue tit) is the source of this 4250-nucleotide non-coding RNA. Lineage: Eukaryota; Metazoa; Chordata; Aves; Passeriformes; Paridae. The record is from RefSeq and is a predicted model, not a curated record.